RNAcentral lists this ribosomal RNA (322 nucleotides) under uncultured eukaryote. RNAcentral describes it as "partial 18S ribosomal RNA". It matches the Rfam family "Eukaryotic small subunit ribosomal RNA", at positions 1470 to 1796 of the family's 1831-position model. The record is from RNAcentral.
CCCUUAGAUGUUCUGGGCCGCACGCGUGCUACACUGAGUGGAUCAGCGGGUCAGGUUGCGCGAAAGCGUUUCCUAAUCUUUAAAUCCGCUCGUGAUGGGGAUUGACGGUUGCAAUUUUCUGUCAUGAACGAGGAAUACCUUGUAAGCGAGGGUCAUCAUCCCGCGCUGAAUACGUCCCUGCCCUUUGUACACACCGCCCGUCGCUCCUACCGAUUGAGUGGUCCGGUGAGGCUUUGGGAUCUGAGCGGAAAGAGCGUUUCGCUGUUUCUGCUCGGAAAACUCAGUCGAACCUUAUCAUUUAGAGGAAGGAGAAGUCGUAACA